Molecule: ribosomal RNA, 495 nt
Filed under: uncultured bacterium
Lineage: Bacteria
Description: partial 16S ribosomal RNA
Rfam family: Bacterial small subunit ribosomal RNA
Source: RNAcentral
GACGAACGCUGGCGGCGUGCCUAAUACAUGCAAGUAGAACGCUGAAGGAGGAGCUUGCUCUUCUGGAUGAGUUGCGAACGGGUGAGUAACGCGUAGGUAACCUGCCUGGUAGCGGGGGAUAACUAUUGGAAACGAUAGCUAAUACCGCAUAACAGUAGAUGUUACAUGACAUUUGCUUAAAAGGUGCAAUUGCACCACUACCAGAUGGACCUGCGUUGUAUUAGCUAGUUGGUGGGGUAACGGCUCACCAAGGCGACGAUACAUAGCCGACCUGAGAGGGUGAUCGGCCACACUGGGACUGAGACACGGCCCAGACUCCUACGGGAGGCAGCAGUAGGGAAUCUUCGGCAAUGGACGGAAGUCUGACCGAGCAACGCCGCGUGAGUGAAGAAGGUUUUCGGAUCGUAAAGCUCUGUUGUAAGAGAAGAACGAGUGUGAGAGUGGAAAGUUCACACUGUGACGGUAUCUUACCAGAAAGGGACGGCUAACUACGUG